This 319-nucleotide ribosomal RNA is filed under the name uncultured eukaryote. Its description in RNAcentral is "partial 18S ribosomal RNA". It matches the Rfam family "Eukaryotic small subunit ribosomal RNA", at positions 1470 to 1796 of the family's 1831-position model. The record is from RNAcentral.
CCCUUAGAUGUUCUGGGCCGCACGCGUGCUACACUGAGUGGAUCAGCGGGUCAGGUUGCGCGAAAGCGUUUCCUAAUCUUUAAAUCCGCUCGUGAUGGGGAUUGACGGUUGCAAUUUUCUGUCAUGAACGAGGAAUACCUUGUAAGCGCGGGUCAUCAUCCCGCGCUGAAUACGUCCCUGCCCUUUGUACACACCGCCCGUCGCUCCUACCGAUUGAGUGGUCCGGUGAAUAAUUCGGACUGCAGCAGUGUUCAGUUCCUGAACGUUGCAGCGGAAAGUUUAGUGAACCUUAUCACUUAGAGGAGGAGAAGUCGUAACA